This 525-nucleotide ribosomal RNA is filed under the name uncultured bacterium. Its description in RNAcentral is "bacterial SSU rRNA". It matches the Rfam family "Bacterial small subunit ribosomal RNA", at positions 26 to 518 of the family's 1533-position model. The record is from RNAcentral.
UGGCUAGGACGAACGCUGGCGGCGUGCCUAAUACAUGCAAGUCGAACGGUCUUUCUAUGGAAGCUUGCUUCCACUGAGAAGAUAGUGGCGAACGGGUGAGUAACACGUGGGUAACCUGCCCAUAAGAGGGGGGAUAACAUCCGGAAACGGGUGCUAAUACCGCAUAGUUUUCUUGAUCGCAUGAUCGGGAAAAGAAAGACGGCCUUUGUGCUGUCGCUUAUGGAUGGACCCGCGGCGUAUUAGUUAGUUGGUGAGGUAACGGCUCACCAAGACGAUGAUACGUAGCCGACCUGAGAGGGUGAUCGGCCACAUUGGGACUGAGACACGGCCCAAACUCCUACGGGAGGCAGCAGUAGGGAAUCUUCCGCAAUGGACGAAAGUCUGACGGAGCAACGCCGCGUGAGUGAAGAAAGGUUUUCGGAUCGUAAAACUCUGUUGUCAGAGAAGAACAAGUUGGAGAGUAACUGCUCCAGCCUUGACGGUAUCUGACCAGAAAGCCACGGCUAACUACGUGCCAGCAGCCGC